RNAcentral lists this antisense RNA (68 nucleotides) under Mycobacterium sp. THAF192. RNAcentral describes it as "ASdes TB sRNA". It matches the Rfam family "ASdes TB sRNA". Lineage: Bacteria; Bacillati; Actinomycetota; Actinomycetes; Mycobacteriales; Mycobacteriaceae. The record is from RNAcentral.
AGCUCGACGGGGUCGACGUUGCGGGUGACGACCAGGUAGUCACGCAGCGCGAUGCCGUGCCGAUUCUC